Long non-coding RNA from Gigantopelta aegis, 1171 nucleotides. RefSeq lists it as uncharacterized. The record is from RefSeq and is a predicted model, not a curated record. The transcript has 2 exons. NCBI's taxonomy places the organism in Eukaryota, Metazoa, Mollusca, Gastropoda, Neomphalida, Peltospiridae.
GCAUUUAAUAACUGGUAUAUUUUGCCCAAGGCCAUAAUUUCAUUGCAUCUGCACAGACAUGUACAAACAAACAUUUCACAGGCCAAAAAAAAAAAAGUAUUAUCUAGUGCAGUCAACUGAUAGAACGCUGCUAGUAUGUGUGAUCUCUCGCUUUUGUUACUUACUCUGAAAUUAUUUUCUGGCAGAAAGCCUGACUAAACAAUAGUUCUGAGAUUUGUCAUUUUGUAGAUGGUAUUCCUGACUCUUGUCUCAAAAACUAUCCAUGGAGCUCUCCAAGGAUUGAUUUUCUUGGAACUCGUGUUAGAAAAAAACAUCUACCGACCGACUUGUCCCAGAAACAACGAGGACAUGCAAGUUGUAUUCACCACAGUAGACUGUGAAGAAUAUACUCGGUAGAGCUUGAAGUAUGGUAUAUAUGUACUCGGUAGAAACGGAUACUUUCCAUAUACAUGUGUACAUUGAUCGGUUUUACUGCUAUAAAACAUACAUGUCUGUGCAGCUUAACAAAGUAGCCAACCUCAGAUUUUGUUUCUGGUACAGUCCCAGUGGUGUGUGUAGCAGGUACAUAACUUCUCAUCUGUUUGCUUCAGUUUGCUAUUUUAUAGGCUUGAUUUUCAAACACAGCACAAUACAACUUAAAAAGAAAAAUCAUUAUACUAAUCUUAAAUUAUUAUUUUUUAUUGUAUAGGUUUUAGUAAGGAAGUUUCUACUUAUUGAUACUGGACGAAUACGAGAAUUUUAUCAAAUUUAAGGGCCAAAUUUACAAAGCCUGUUUUUGUUUUGCAUGCAUGUAACUACGUAAUAUAUUAAUUAUAACACCUGGGUUUAACAAAAACAGACAUUGUAAAUUCAGCCCAGAGUUGAUUUUUUUUUUUUUUUUACACUAGGUUAUGGCUGUUGUGUGUACAGUAACUGAGUGUGUUAUGUCUGUUUAGCGAGAUGAUGUGUAUUGUAACAGACUGAUGUGGUUUUAGGCCAGGGAGAUUGAUUAGUUCCAUACCACCUUAUUCUCCAUGAAGGUAGUGUGUUGCCAAACCAUAUAUUAUUAUGCAAAGUGAUGUGCUGUUGUUUGUCAUGAAUGUUUGCCAGGUGUGGUAGAAUCGUUUACAGAGCUGUGAUCCUUUCAUGGUAUUGGUGUUCGCUGGACUAAAAAAUAAAUUAUUUUAAAUUA